CCUACGGGGGGCUGCAGUGGGGAAUAUUGGACAAUGGGGGGAACCCUGAUCCAGCCAUGCCGCGUGUGUGAAGAAGGCCCUCGGGUUGUAAAGCACUUUCAGUGAGGAAGAACGCCUGGUGGUUAAUACCCAUCAGGAAAGACAUCACUCACAGAAGAAGCACCGGCUAACUCCGUGCCAGCAGCCGCGGUAAUACGGAGGGUGCGAGCGUUAAUCGGAAUUACUGGGCGUAAAGCGCGCGUAGGUGGCUUGAUAAGCCGGUUGUGAAAGCCCCGGGCUCAACCUGGGAACGGCAUCCGGAACUGUCAAGCUAGAGUGCAGGAGAGGAAGGUAGAAUUGCCGGUGUAGCGGUGAAAUGCGUAGAGAUCGGCAGGAAUACCAGUGGCGAAGGCGGCCUUCUGGACUGACACUGACACUGAGGUGCGAAAGCGUGGGUAGCAAACAGGAUUAGAUACCCGUGUAGUC
This 465-nucleotide ribosomal RNA is filed under the name Vreelandella stevensii. RNAcentral describes it as "partial 16S ribosomal RNA". It matches the Rfam family "Bacterial small subunit ribosomal RNA", at positions 338 to 795 of the family's 1533-position model. The record is from RNAcentral. Lineage: Bacteria; Pseudomonadati; Pseudomonadota; Gammaproteobacteria; Oceanospirillales; Halomonadaceae.